AACGAACGCUGGCGGCAUGCCUAACACAUGCAAGUCGAACGAGACCUUCGGGUCUAGUGGCGCACGGGUGCGUAACGCGUGGGAACCUGCCCUUAGGUUCGGGAUAACUCCCCGAAAGGGGUGCUAAUACCGGAUAAUGUCUUCGGACCAAAGAUUUAUCGCCUUUGGAUGGGCCCGCGUUGGAUUAGCUAGUUGGUAGGGUAAAAGCCUACCAAGGCGACGAUCCAUAGCUGGUCUGAGAGGAUGAUCAGCCACACUGGGACUGAGACACGGCCCAGACUCCUACGGGAGGCAGCAGUGGGGAAUAUUGGACAAUGGGCGAAAGCCUGAUCCAGCAAUGCCGCGUGAGUGAUGAAGGCCUUAGGGUUGUAAAGCUCUUUUACCCGGGAUGAUAAUGACAGUACCGGGAGAAUAAGCUCCGGCUAACUCCGU
RNAcentral lists this ribosomal RNA (432 nucleotides) under uncultured bacterium. RNAcentral describes it as "partial 16S ribosomal RNA". It matches the Rfam family "Bacterial small subunit ribosomal RNA", at positions 29 to 506 of the family's 1533-position model. The record is from RNAcentral.